UAGUAAAAUUUGCUAGAUCGUCCACCUCC
RNAcentral lists this non-coding RNA (29 nucleotides) under Mus musculus (house mouse). Lineage: Eukaryota; Metazoa; Chordata; Mammalia; Rodentia; Muridae. The record is from RNAcentral.